Molecule: unclassified non-coding RNA, 315 nt
Filed under: plant metagenome
Description: partial contains 5.8S ribosomal RNA, internal transcribed spacer 2, and large subunit ribosomal RNA
Rfam family: 5.8S ribosomal RNA (bases 1-105)
Source: RNAcentral
GAACUGCGAUAAGUAAUGUGAAUUGCAGAAUUCAGUGAAUCAUCGAGUCUUUGAACGCACAUCGCGCCCCCUGGCAUUCCGGGGGGCAUGCCUGUCCGAGCGUCAUUGCUGCCCUUCAAGCCCGGCUUGUGUGUUGGGUCGUCGUCCCCUCCGGGGGACGGGCCCGAAAGGCAGCGGCGGCACCGCGUCCGGUCCUCGAGCGUAUGGGGCUUUGUCACCCGCUCGAUAAGGACCGGCCGGGCGCCAGCCGGCGUCUCCAACCUUUUUUUCUCAGGUUGACCUCGGAUCAGGUAGGGAUACCCGCUGAACUUAAGC